Molecule: ribosomal RNA, 484 nt
Filed under: uncultured bacterium
Lineage: Bacteria
Description: partial 16S ribosomal RNA
Rfam family: Bacterial small subunit ribosomal RNA
Source: RNAcentral
AUUGAACGCUGGCGGCAGGCCUAACACAUGCAAGUCGAGCGGAUGAAGGGAGCUUGCUCCUGGAUUCAGCGGCGGACGGGUGAGUAAUGCCUAGGAAUCUGCCUGGUAGUGGGGGAUAACGUCCGGAAACGGGCGCUAAUACCGCAUACGUCCUGAGGGAGAAAGUGGGGGAUCUUCGGACCUCACGCUAUCAGAUGAGCCUAGGUCGGAUUAGCUAGUUGGUGGGGUAAAGGCCUACCAAGGCGACGAUCCGUAACUGGUCUGAGAGGAUGAUCAGUCACACUGGCACGUAGAGACGGUCGGGACGCCGACGGGAGCAGUCAUUGGGGUAUAGUGGAGAAUGGUCGAGAUGCUGAUCCAGCGAUGGCGUGGGUGAUAAGAAGGUCUUUUGGUUGUAGAGUAUUUUAAGGUAUGAGAAAGGACAAGAAGCUAAUACCUUGGUGCUAUGAGCUUACGUACAAAACAAGCAACGGCUAACCGCGUG